Molecule: non-coding RNA, 818 nt
Organism: Pseudopodoces humilis (Tibetan ground-tit)
Lineage: Eukaryota; Metazoa; Chordata; Aves; Passeriformes; Paridae
Source: RefSeq, a predicted model, not a curated record
AAGAAAGACUAUUUAGCGAAGUAGGCUAAUGGUGGUGGGGAGGAAGGGGGCUGAUUUUCACAUCUCAGAACUGUUAAGCCUGCAGAUAUUACUGAAAUCACAUCUGGGAACAAAGCUCUGCUUUAACACAAAGAGAGGUGCUGCGUCCUGGAGCACUGGCACAAGCGUUUGCGCACCAGAACUGCCAACAUCUGUCUCUGGAUUUAACAGCAAGGCAUGAGAGAAGAAGAAAUCUUCCCUAUCAGCAGCAGCAGGGGUUGCUGCAGCAAGAUGAUAAUUCCCUCCUGCUACUCUGCUGACAACCACCAAGCUGCACAGGAAGAGCAAAGCAUUUUAAUCAUGGAAUUGAAAAACAUAGCAGUUCCUAAAGCUCCACCUUACCUUGGCUGAUUUACAUUAAUUUAGAAUCAACUUGCUUUCAGCAAAGUAAUGUUAUCUAUGGAAGAUAACAGGCGGAAAAAUUCAGUAACUUCUAGCUUCCCUGUGCAUAACAGGCACGGAUCUAUGUACAUAAACAGUUUUGGAACAUCUUAGAUAAGCAAGGAUUAUUGAAUUCCUUAAAAGCACAGUGCAAACUUGAUGGUUCCAUAAUUCCAUACUAAAUGUUUUAUAAGUGCCAUGCUUCCAAAUACACACCAUUAAAAGGAUAAAAAAUUCACUAGCAGCUGGCAAGUCAGGGUCCAACCCAGUGUCCACUGGACCCAUCAGAAAUCCUGCGACAGAGGCCUCAAGGUUUUGGCUCUGUCUCUUCCAUCAGAUUAUCAUUUAUAACAAAGGCACUCCAUAAGAAGCUGCUAAGAUAAAUUCAAACCUUGUGU